RNAcentral lists this ribosomal RNA (497 nucleotides) under uncultured bacterium. RNAcentral's name for it is "partial 16S ribosomal RNA". It matches the Rfam family "Bacterial small subunit ribosomal RNA", at positions 28 to 507 of the family's 1533-position model. The record is from RNAcentral.
GACGAACGCUGGCGGCGUGCCUAAUACAUGCAAGUUGAGCGCUGAAGGUUGGUACUUGUACCAACUGGAUGAGCAGCGAACGGGUGAGUAACGCGUGGGGAAUCUGUCUUUGAGCGGGGGACAACAUUUGGAAACGAAUGCUAAUACCGCAUAAAAACUUUAAACACAAGUUUUAAGUUUGAAAGAUGCAAUUGCAUCACUCAAAGAUGAUCCCGCGUUGUAUUAGCUAGUUGGUGAGGUAAAGGCUCACCAAGGCGAUGAUACAUAGCCGACCUGAGAGGGUGAUCGGCCACAUUGGGACUGAGACACGGCCCAAACUCCUACGGGAGGCAGCAGUAGGGAAUCUUCGGCAAUGGACGAAAGUCUGACCGAGCAACGCCGCGUGAGUGAAGAAGGUUUUCGGAUCGUAAAACUCUGUUGGUAGAGAAGAACGUUGGUGAGAGUGGAAAGCUCAUCAAGUGACGGUAACUACCCAGAAAGGGACGGCUAACUACGUG